GGGACGCUGGCGCAACGGUUAGCGCAACUGGCUCAUAACCAGCAGGCUCUGUGUUCAAAUCACAGGCGUCCCA
This 73-nucleotide transfer RNA is filed under the name Clostridia bacterium. RNAcentral's name for it is "tRNA-Ile". It matches the Rfam family "tRNA". Rfam says of the family: Transfer RNA (tRNA) molecules are approximately 80 nucleotides in length. Their secondary structure includes four short double-helical elements and three loops (D, anti-codon, and T loops). Lineage: Bacteria; Bacillati; Bacillota; Clostridia. The record is from RNAcentral.